CAGCUCUGCCAGGCAGCCCUUCUCAGCUGUGCUCCACUGAAUCACCCCUUUCCUAUGAUGUCACAGGCAGAUUAUUCCACGACUUUCUGACGCUACCCAACUGAUAGUAAACUGGCUUCCAGACACAUAGCGUUUACAUCACUACAUGGAUUCUACCAACGAAUGAUACUUCCAGACACCCUGUGACCCCAAUCUUUGGAGCUUUUGGUGCCGGGUACAUCUCCUGAAUCGCCAGCCUGCUGUGCUCCUGCUUGGUCAGCAGGGGAAGCACACCGCUGACACUACAUGGACAACCAAAGUCCCCACGUCAUUUGACAGGUGAAGUUUAAGGGAUUUUUCUCAACAGACAUUAAGGCCUAGACACAGAAGGGCCACUUCAGAGGAUGUGUGUUUCCUUUAAUGAAAUGGUUUAAAUAGUAGAAAAGGAAUGAUAGGUUGUUAUGUAGUAACAAUAAAAUUUUUUUGAGCACGUUU
This is a long non-coding RNA of Hipposideros armiger (great roundleaf bat), 474 nucleotides long. RefSeq lists it as uncharacterized. The transcript has 3 exons. NCBI's taxonomy places the organism in Eukaryota, Metazoa, Chordata, Mammalia, Chiroptera, Hipposideridae. The record is from RefSeq and is a predicted model, not a curated record.